GAUCGCAUAAAAACCCUGGCUACCAUACUGGAAAGACCUUGUGAAGAGCCCACAUAGAAAUAGAGAUCCCUGAGGAACCCCGGCUGGUGCAGCCCCCCAGUUUUGAAUCUUCCCAUCCCAGGCACCAGACAUGUGAAGGAGGGAGUUUUCAGAUAAUUCUAGUCCUCUCUUCUUACUAUAACUGCAUGAGAGACCUCAAGCAAGAACCACUCAGCUGAGGCCAGUAAACCCCCAAAGCUGUGAGAGAGCCCAAGUUGUCCGCAAAGCCCAAGGCCCACAAAGAAUCAUCCACUGUUGCAGAGAGAAUUGCUAGGAUGAAAGGUUUCUUUUUCCACGAUGAAGUCUCCAGCAAUAAAAACUGAAGACUCUCCUGCUUCAUGACGUCUGUGAAUGAUUUCAGAGCUAUCUUUGAGAACUUAUUCGAAGGAUCAGAAGUGUUUGAUAGCCUACCAAAUGCUAAAACUCAGAGCAAAUACAGCAGGAAGCAUAAGCAGAAACGGGAAACAAGGUUGUUCUUAUUUCUUUACCUUGGAAACUUUUGCAUAGGCGGAGAGAAGAAGCUGCUUGAGGUCCAAAACUCUUCAAACGUGUUUUAAAAUCUUGAGCUCGUCACAGAAGUGGUGUUGGGUGUUCUGGAGAAGAGAGAUGCAGAGGGAGCGUCUCAAGGACAAGGUUUCUGGUGUCUUCCUCUGGUGAAUUCGGGGCAGGAGGAGUAUUCUGAAAUCA
Lagenorhynchus albirostris (white-beaked dolphin) is the source of this 726-nucleotide long non-coding RNA. RefSeq lists it as uncharacterized. The record is from RefSeq and is a predicted model, not a curated record. The transcript is spliced from 4 exons. Lineage: Eukaryota; Metazoa; Chordata; Mammalia; Artiodactyla; Delphinidae.